GGAAUAUUGCGCAAUGGGCGAAAGCCUGACGCAGCCACGACGCGUGAGUGAUGAAGGCCUUCGGGUUGUAAAGCUCUGUCGGGAGGGACGAAAGGAGAAAUCCUUGACGGUACCUCGCAAGAAAGCACAGGCUAACUCUGUGCCAGCAUCCGCGGGAAUACAGAGGGUGCAAGCGUUGCUCGGAUUUACUGGGCGUAAAGCGUACGCAGACGGUGGGAAAGGUCGGAUGUGAAAGCGCCGGGCUCAACCCGGGAACUGUAUCCGAAACCAUCUCGCUAGAGUAUGGGAGAGGGAAGCGGAAUUCCUGGUGUAGAGGUGAAAUUCGUAGAUAUCAGGAGGAACACCUGCGGCGAAGGCGGCUUCCUGGCCCAUUACUGACGUUCAGGUACGAAAGCGUGGGUAGCAAAC
Molecule: ribosomal RNA, 408 nt
Filed under: uncultured bacterium
Lineage: Bacteria
Description: bacterial SSU rRNA
Rfam family: Bacterial small subunit ribosomal RNA
Source: RNAcentral